GCCUGACGGAGCAACGCCGCGUGAGGGAGGAAGGCCUGUGGGUUGUAAACCUCUUUUCUCAAGGAAGAAGUUCUGACGGUACUUGAGGAAUCAGCAUCGGCUAACUCCGUGCCAGCAGCCGCGGUAAGACGGAGGAUGCAAGCGUUAUCCGGAAUUAUUGGGCGUAAAGCGUCCGUAGGCGGUUUCAAAAGUCUGUUGUUAAAUCCCACAGCUCAACUGUGGAUCGGCGAUGGAAACUGUGAGACUAGAGAGUGGUAGGGGUAGAGGGAAUUCCUAGUGUAGCGGUGAAAUGCGUAGAUAUUAGGAAGAACACCAGUGGCGAAGGCGCUCUACUGGGCCAUUACUGACGCUGAUGGACGAAAGCUAGGGGAGCGAAAGGGAUUAGAUACCC
Molecule: ribosomal RNA, 391 nt
Filed under: uncultured Antarctic cyanobacterium
Lineage: Bacteria; Bacillati; Cyanobacteriota
Description: bacterial SSU rRNA
Rfam family: Bacterial small subunit ribosomal RNA
Source: RNAcentral